UGCCAGCCGCCGCGGUAAUACGGAGGGUGCAAGCGUUGUUCGGAAUUAUUGGGCGUAAAGAGCACGUAGGCGGAUUAGUAAGUUAGGGGUGAAAUCCCGGGGCUCAACCCCGGAACUGCCUCUAAUACUGCUAGUCUUGAGUUCGAGAGAGGUGAGUGGAAUUCCGAGUGUAGAGGUGAAAUUCGUAGAUAUUCGGAGGAACACCAGUGGCGAAGGCGGCUAACUGGCUCGGUACUGACGCUGAGAUGCGAAAGCGUGGGUAGCAAACAGGAUUAGAUA
RNAcentral lists this ribosomal RNA (279 nucleotides) under uncultured bacterium. RNAcentral's name for it is "partial 16S ribosomal RNA". It matches the Rfam family "Bacterial small subunit ribosomal RNA", at positions 506 to 784 of the family's 1533-position model. The record is from RNAcentral.